Molecule: ribosomal RNA, 492 nt
Filed under: uncultured bacterium
Lineage: Bacteria
Description: partial 16S ribosomal RNA
Rfam family: Bacterial small subunit ribosomal RNA
Source: RNAcentral
AGUGAACGCUGGCGGUAGGCCUAACACAUGCAAGUCGAACGGCAGCACCGUAAGAGCUUGCUCUUACGGGUGGCGAGUGGCGGACGGGUGAGGAAUACAUCGGAAUCUACUUUUUCGUGGGGGAUAACGUAGGUAAACUUACGCUAAUACCGCAUACGACCUACGGGUGAAAGCAUGGGAUCUUCGGACCUUGCGCGAUUGAAUGAGCCGAUGUCGGAUUAGCUAGUUGGCGGGGUAAAGGCCCACCACGGCGACGAUCCGUAGCUGGUCUGAGAGGAUGAUCAGCCACACUGGAACUGAGACACGGUACAGACUCCUACGGGAGGCAGCAGUGGGGAAUAUUGGACAAUGGGAGCAAGCCUGAUCCAGCCAUACCGCGUGGGUGAAGAAGGCCUUCGGGUUGUAAAGCCCUUUUGUUGGGAAAGAAAAGCAGCAGGUUAAUACCCCGCUGUUCUGACGGUACCCAAAGAAUAAGCACCGGCUAACUUCGUG